UGGUGAGCUGCGCCUCGUCGCCUCUGCCCCGGCGAGCCGCGUCUCGUCGCCUCUGCGGUGGGCCGGCAUUCACGGCAUCCAGGAGGGCAGCCACCUGAACUGGCUAUCGGUGGCCUUCCUCGUGUACUCGGCGCUGUUCUCGCUGUCGUACCUCUGGUACCCGAACCCGAUUUUCCACCAGGUCAACUACGGAGUG
Molecule: long non-coding RNA, 196 nt
Organism: Pollicipes pollicipes
Lineage: Eukaryota; Metazoa; Arthropoda; Thecostraca; Pollicipedomorpha; Pollicipedidae
Exons: 3
Source: RefSeq, a predicted model, not a curated record